UUGAGCCGUGUGCGUCUAAAGGCGCACGCACGGUUCUUAGAGGGCUGGGGAUGGGUAACCGUCCCUGGCUACUCGGC
Molecule: non-coding RNA, 77 nt
Filed under: Paraburkholderia sp. BL10I2N1
Lineage: Bacteria; Pseudomonadati; Pseudomonadota; Betaproteobacteria; Burkholderiales; Burkholderiaceae
Source: RNAcentral